UACGGAGGAUGCAAGCGUUAUCCGGAUUUAUUGGGUUUAAAGGGUGCGUAGGCGGGACUGUAAGUCAGGGGUGAAAUACUGCAGCUUAACUGUAGCAUUGCCUUUGAAACUGUGGUUCUUGAGUACAGUUGAGGUAGGCGGAAUGUGGUGUGUAUCGGUGAAAUGCAUAGAUAUACCACAGAACGCCGAUUGCGAAGGCAGCUUACUAAGCUGUUACUGACGCUGAGGCACGAAAGCGUGGGGAUCAAACAGGAUUAGA
This 259-nucleotide ribosomal RNA is filed under the name uncultured prokaryote. RNAcentral's name for it is "partial 16S ribosomal RNA". It matches the Rfam family "Bacterial small subunit ribosomal RNA", at positions 524 to 782 of the family's 1533-position model. The record is from RNAcentral.